Molecule: long non-coding RNA, 1878 nt
Organism: Sinocyclocheilus grahami
Lineage: Eukaryota; Metazoa; Chordata; Actinopteri; Cypriniformes; Cyprinidae
Source: Ensembl
GUUGCUGAAGGCUGUGAAUCUGGCUGGUCUCAUGACUGCCACAACUCUCUAUCCACUCUUUGUUUGUUUGCCUGCAGGUUAAAUUUGCUCUCAAUAACAAGUAUAAAAGAAGACCAUCUUCUCCUUUCUAGCAGAGAGUCUAUUUCCAGUUACAGAACUGCUUUGGUUGAUACAGAAUACUUUAGAUAAACUAUAAGACAGGGGAAAUAGGCAAGCAUUAGAAAAAAAACAAUGGGAUACUAUAACAGGAAAUAGAAUGACUAGGUAGUGUUUGGUUGAACAUCAUAGAUUUGUCUUUCUUGUAGUAUUUUGUGCUAUGUAGCAGGAAAAUUAGGGUUGGAAGGGAAAAUUUCAGUUUUUAAGCCAUCUGGAGUUGUCUUCUUUCUGCUAGCAUUGUUAAGUGUUUGACCGUGUGCUUUUGCACACUGGCCACUAACAUAGAAGAUGAGUAAUUGUAAGAAAGAGUUGAGUGAGAGAGAGAAAGAACGACUGCUCAUCCGCAGGGCCAGCGGAGCCAACGCCUCUCAGCUGGCUCAUAUGGAAAAGAUGCUACAAGAAACCAAAGGCCUGCUGGAGAAGAAGACAGAGACGGAUUCAGAAAGCAAAGCCUGUGGAGACACUAUGGUGUCUGAUCUGGAGCAGAAGGUCCAGCGCAGCAAGCGAGACCGUCGUAACUCUCUCCACCGCACACAGCUGCUGGAGAGUCAGAUGAAGACGGUUCGCGGUGAGCUCGUUGGCACGCUUGACCACCUGCAGGAGCUGCGCAACAUACUGCGACGCUCGCAGCAGAACGCAGAAGAGCGGGAAGCAGCCAUGCAAAAACUAGCUGCAGGGCUGAGGUGAGACACCACCUGUCUGCCUGCAGUCCCUGUGUUACCACAUCCAUCCAUUCAUCUCAUCAUAAAGACUUUAAAGCACUGUUCCUCUGAAAUAUCUGUUUGACUGCACAUCCAGAACGAUGCCAUUUUUCACAUUGGCUCAUACAUUCCUGUGCAACCCCAUGCUGUUGUAAAAUCUAUGUUAAAUGAUUGAAGCAUGCCGCAGUUAUUUAAAGGGCAUGGUUUUAUUCUCUUAAGAUAGAAGUAGUUCUCCUUUUGGUUGAUGAGAACUCUGUUUGGUAUCUGGUUUUUAUAUCCUGUUGUCAGCGAAAUGCAGCCUUAAAGCAUAAUUUCAAUCAUAUAAAGAAAUGUCUAUAUAAGUAUAUAGACAUCCAUUGAAUGCCUUGUUAACUUGUGAAUUAAAUUUCACACCCUGUCACAUCUGACACAUUUUAUUGUGCCAAUUCAUGUGUGAUGGCUUCAGCCAAGUGUUUAUUUGGGUUUAUGUCUUCACAGGAUUUGUUUUGUAAGACCACAGACUGUGUACAAUGUCUUGUAGCUUUGAGUUGUUUCAUAUGUGGUAUCUGCAAGGUCCAACAUUUCUUAAUAUGAAUGCUUUAGUCCCCUAUAUUCAUAGGUUCAGCUGCUUUUAUUGUUUAAUUUAUUCUAUUGUUUAUUCCUUUUACAUGAUCUGCAAUAUUACAUGCUGUUUCAACUAAUAUUAACCACCAAGUAAUGCAGGUGAAGAAUGUUUGCAUCUGGGCACUCAUUAAAAUAUCGAUAUGUCCUCCUCCAGGUUGUACUUUAUGAAAAGAAAAUUUUACCCCUAUUAAAAUGCACAGAGAAAUUUUUUAUUUGUUUAAAGUCUACUAUGAAGUAUGUUGGUAUACAUUUAAGUAGAUUUUCAUAGUGCUCAGGGCAACAUAAACAAAAAGAGUGUACCUUUAAGCCAUGAUUACUUUAUCACACAGAUUUAAUGCCCAUUACAAAACAAUCACUAAAAAUAUGAGCCUAAACAUUGCCUAUACAUACUAAAAAUAAAUGUAUGGAGCUCCACACA